GGUUUUGUAGUUUAUUUAAAACUAUUAAAUUGCAAAUUUAGUAAAACAUAUAUUUUGUCAAAACUU
RNAcentral lists this transfer RNA (66 nucleotides) under Osborniella crotophagae. RNAcentral's name for it is "tRNA-Cys". The record is from RNAcentral. Lineage: Eukaryota; Metazoa; Arthropoda; Insecta; Psocodea; Menoponidae.